Molecule: long non-coding RNA, 927 nt
Organism: Ziziphus jujuba (common jujube)
Lineage: Eukaryota; Viridiplantae; Streptophyta; Magnoliopsida; Rosales; Rhamnaceae
Exons: 2
Source: RefSeq, a predicted model, not a curated record
UCUGGAGCUAAAAAAAAUUCCUCAUCCUCCAAAUUAUUGUAUGUCAAAAGAAAUUAUAUUAUAAUAUAUCUUUGGUAUGUAUAAAAUGAGAUUGUGAUGCAGUCAUUGUAAUUUAUUUUUUAUUUUUUAUAGGCUUUGUCCCCUCUACUAUUGUUCAUUUUGCAUGUUAUUUCACAAACUUUGAAAAUUCUCAUAUUAGCCACCAAAUUCAAUUGGUGCCCGAAAAAAAAAAGAAUGGUUGAAAGACAAUAUGAGGCAUUCGAAUCAAAAGUGGUAUGGUAUGGUCUAAGGCUAUCACUGUAAUUUCACCCCUGGGAGUUGGGACGCCGGGUUAUCCACAGCGUGCCUGUUGAUUACAGAGUUGCAAAAACCCUGAAAAGGAGGUCUAAGCCAAGCUUGCCCGACCUACCUCUGGCGAUGAGGGUUUUGUGCUCCGGCAUGGAUAAGUCUUUGGUGGAGUUAGAGAAAAUGCACAACCUGCUCGUCAUUAAACUAAUCCGGCAGGACAUUAGCCACCGGUUCUAUGUUACCCUCUUUUCGCCGGAGCCGAUCGUCUUCCUCCUCCUUCACCGGCACUCGUAAAUCUAGGGUACUUGAAAGUAGCAUAUCAUCAAGGUCGUUUGGGUUCUGGAGGAUGGACCUUUGUCAUUGUUGGAGGAGCUUGUAGAAGGUACCAAUUGUGUGAUAUAAUUAAUUGCAUAUUUUAAAGUCUUUGUUAAUUGUUCUUGGGGGUUGUAAAAUUUUUAAUUCGAAUUGAGUAGUUUGCUUUUCGCCUCUGAAAAUUAUAUUCUAUAUACAGUAGAAGCUUAUGAUAUGUAUAGCCUUUUGUUAUGAAAGGGUGUGUUUUAUCUGAUUGCUACUGUAGCUUUUGAUUAAUGAAAUUCUUUCUUAUAAAAUGAAAAAAAGUACAAGUUUUAUUUUCUUUUA